RNAcentral lists this ribosomal RNA (468 nucleotides) under uncultured bacterium. RNAcentral's name for it is "partial 16S ribosomal RNA". It matches the Rfam family "Bacterial small subunit ribosomal RNA", at positions 28 to 507 of the family's 1533-position model. The record is from RNAcentral.
GACGAACGCUGGCGGCGUGCUUAACACAUGCCAGUCGAACGGAAAGGCCCUGCUUUUGUGGGGUGCUCGAGUGGCGAACGGGUGAGUAACACGUGAGUAACCUGCCCUUGACUUUGGGAUAACUUCAGGAAACUGGGGCUAAUACCGGAUAGGAGCUCCUGCUGCAUGGUGGGGGUUGGAAAGUUUCGGCGGUUGGGGAUGGACUCGCGGCUUAUCAGCUUGUUGGUGGGGUAGUGGCUUACCAAGGCUUUGACGGGUAGCCGGCCUGAGAGGGUGACCGGCCACAAGGGGACUGAGAUACGGCGCAGACGCCUACGGGAGGCAGCAGUGGGGAAUAUGGCACAAUGGGCGGAAGCCUGAGGCAGAAACGCCGCGUGCGGGAUGACGGCCUUCGGGUUGUAAACCGCCUUCGCCUGUGACGAAGCGUGAGUGACGGUAAUGGGUAAAGAAGCACCGGCUAACUACGUG